This 601-nucleotide ribosomal RNA is filed under the name uncultured bacterium. Its description in RNAcentral is "bacterial SSU rRNA". It matches the Rfam family "Bacterial small subunit ribosomal RNA", at positions 734 to 1339 of the family's 1533-position model. The record is from RNAcentral.
CUUUAACUGACGCUGAGGCACGAAAGCGUGGGUAGCAAACAGGAUUAGAUACCCUGGUAGUCCACGCUGUAAACGAUGAUUACUAGGUGUGGGGGGAUUGACCCCUUCCGUGCCGCAGUUAACACAAUAAGUAAUCCACCUGGGGAGUACGGCCGCAAGGUUGAAACUCAAAGGAAUUGACGGGGGCCCGCACAAGCAGUGGAGUAUGUGGUUUAAUUCGAAGCAACGCGAAGAACCUUACCGGGGCUUGACAUCCUAGGAAGAUUUCAGAGAUGAGAUUGUGCCCUUCGGGGAACCUAGAGACAGGUGGUGCAUGGUUGUCGUCAGCUCGUGUCGUGAGAUGUUGGGUUAAGUCCCGCAACGAGCGCAACCCUUGCUUUUAGUUGCUACGCAAGAGCACUCUAGAAGGACUGCCGUUGACAAAACGGAGGAAGGUGGGGACGACGUCAAAUCAUCAUGCCCCUUAUGUCCCGGGCUACACACGUACUACAAUGGCCGUCAACAGAGGGAAGCAAUGGAGCGAUCCGGAGCAAACCCCCAAAAACGGUCCCAGUUCAGAUUGUAGGCUGCAACUCGCCUACAUGAAGUUGGAAUUGCUAGU